UGGGUAACCUGCCUGUAAGACUGGGAUAACUCCGGGAAACCGGAGCUAAUACCGGAUAGUUCCUUGAACCGCAUGGUUCAAGGAUGAAAGACGGUUUCGGCUGUCACUUUCAGAUGGACCCGCGGCGCAUUAGCUAGUUGGUGAGGUAACGGCUCACCAAGGCGACGAUGCGUAGCCGACCUGAGAGGGUGAUCGGCCACACUGGGACUGAGACACGGCCCAGACUCCUACGGGAGGCAGCAGUAGGGAAACUUCCGCAAUGGACGAAAGUCUGACGGACAACGCCGCGUGAGUGAUGAAGGUUUUCGGAUCGUAAAGCUCUGUUGUUAGGGAAGAACAAGUGCAAGAGUAACUGCUUGCACCUUGACGGUACCUAACCAGAAAGCCACGGCUAACUACGUGCCAGCAGCCGCGGUAAUACGUAGGUGGCAAGCGUUGUCCGGAAAUAUUGGGCGUAAAGGGCUCGCAGGCGGUUUCUUUAGUCUGAUGUGAAAGCCCCCGGCUCAACCGGGGAGGGUCAUUGGAAACUGGGAAACUUGAGUGCAGAAGAGGAGAGUGGAAUUCCACGUGUAGCGGUGAAAUGCGUAGAGAUGUGGAGGAACACCAGUGGCGAAGGCGACUCUCUGGUCUGUAACUGACGCUGAGGAGCGAAAGCGUGGGGAGCGAACAGGAUUAGAUACCCUGGUAGUCCACGCCGUAAACGAUGAGUGCUAAGUGUUA
RNAcentral lists this ribosomal RNA (720 nucleotides) under Bacillus pumilus. RNAcentral's name for it is "bacterial SSU rRNA". It matches the Rfam family "Bacterial small subunit ribosomal RNA", at positions 118 to 825 of the family's 1533-position model. The record is from RNAcentral. Lineage: Bacteria; Bacillati; Bacillota; Bacilli; Caryophanales; Bacillaceae.